This 771-nucleotide long non-coding RNA is filed under the name Equus caballus (horse). RNAcentral's name for it is "lncRNA (ENSECAG00000045732.1)". The record is from RNAcentral. Lineage: Eukaryota; Metazoa; Chordata; Mammalia; Perissodactyla; Equidae.
GGAUUCUGGACCUUAUCCAGAAGGGAAUUAUAAUCCAGUGGAGGGUUUUAAGCAGGAUCAGAUGGGCCUUUAGAUUCUAAAGUUCCAGAAAGACCAUGCAGCACAGAGUGGACAGAGCAGCCAGGAAACCAUGGGAGGCCCCAGGAGGGAGACGUGGGGGGCCUCGGCAAGACUGGUAAUGUGACGAGGAGGAGAGGGGGCUGGAUUCAAGAGGUUUUUAGGAGGGAAGUGUGGCAGUGGGAGGAGAGGCCAGGGUGGGGAUGUGCCCGCCGGGUCCCUGGCUGAGGCAGCUGGGGGAUGGAGGCCCUGGCCACAGCCCACCAGGCCACACUGGUUACGGUCUCCUCAGACAGACCCGGCUGCUGCUGUCAUUCACUGCCACUCCCUCAGCCUUGUGGUGGCCUUGUCAACCAAGGAGAAGGCCAGGCCUGUGUCUUCCAGCUGUGUCCCCCUCCACUCCCACCGCCCAGCCAGAGACAGGUCCAUGGCAUAAGCCGGCCGUGGAAGUCCAGACCGAGCUCAACCGCCAGCUACCUUUCAGCCAGGAAAGGGUCAUCGGUCAAGGUGACCGACAGGUGGAGAUGACACUUGGGCUGUAAAUGCAGCGAGAGGACCAGCGUGGCGCCCUCCUCGAAGCUGCCCAGGCCUCCACCAGCCCCGACGUCUUGCAGCCUCCCCGGGCCCUUCUCCCCACGGCCACCUGGAUGCCUCCUCUUCGCUUGAUUCAGCUUCUCUUUCUCUUUUUCCUCAUGCGCUGGCGCGUUCCCACCC